RNAcentral lists this ribosomal RNA (496 nucleotides) under uncultured bacterium. RNAcentral describes it as "partial 16S ribosomal RNA". It matches the Rfam family "Bacterial small subunit ribosomal RNA", at positions 28 to 506 of the family's 1533-position model. The record is from RNAcentral.
GAUGAACGCUGGCGGCGUGCCUAAUACGUGCAAGUCGAGCGAACAGAUGAGGAGCUUGCUCCUCUGACGUUAGCGGCGGACGGGUGAGUAACACGUGGAUAACCUACCUAUAAGACUGGGAUAACUUCGGGAAACCGGAGCUAAUACCGGAUAAUAUAUUGAACCGCAUGGUUCAAUAGUGAAAGACGGUUUUGCUGUCACUUAUAGAUGGAUCCGCGCCGCAUUAGCUAGUUGGUAAGGUAACGGCUUACCAAGGCAACGAUGCGUAGCCGACCUGAGAGGGUGAUCGGCCACACUGGAACUGAGAAACGGUCCAGACUCCUACGGGAGGCAGCAGUAGGGAAUCUUCCGAAAUGGGCGAAAGCCUGACGGAGCAACGCCGCGUGAGUGAUGAAGGUCUUCGGAUCGUAAAACUCUGUUAUUAGGGAAGAACAAAUGUGUAAGUAACUAUGCACGUCUGGACGGUACCUAAGCAGAAAGCCACGGCUAACUACGU